Bubalus bubalis (water buffalo) is the source of this 580-nucleotide long non-coding RNA. RefSeq lists it as uncharacterized. NCBI's taxonomy places the organism in Eukaryota, Metazoa, Chordata, Mammalia, Artiodactyla, Bovidae. The transcript has 3 exons. The record is from RefSeq and is a predicted model, not a curated record.
CCUCCUCAACACCCCUGCCCCCACCCUUGGCAAGCACGAGUCUGUUGUCUGGGUCUCUGAGUCUGCUUCCAUUUUGUACAUAAGUUCAUUUAUGUUGUAUUUUAGAUUCCACAUCUAAGAAACAUCCUACGAUAUUUGGCUUUCACUUUCUGACUUCACUUUGUGUGACCAUCUCUCGGGCCAUCCAUGUUGCUGAAAAUGGUAGAUUAGAACUCCAGAAGCUCUACGGUGUCCACAUGGAAACGUGCAGAGAGGUGGAUCCUGGAGACACAGCAGCGCUGUGCUUACGUGUCAACCGCUGUCGGUGAGAAGUGAAGCCGUGCUGCAUUUAAACUGGAACAAAAGGACCGUUUUUAAGCGCACAUACUGUUUGGAGAUACCAAGGAAACAUUUCAUGCAAAGAUGGGCACAAUUAAGGACAGAAACAGCCCAUACUGUAGACGGCAACAAUAAUCUGAAAUUUAGUUUGUCUCCCAAUUAAAUUCUACCUAGACUUAUUAGUGGUCCAAAUUGAAUUUUAUUGUCCUGUAUAAUUGCUAAAGAUAGUUAAUCAGCAAUAAAGAUGCAAGUAUUUCUGGUU